CAAGUCGAGCGGAUGAGAGGAGCUUGCUCCUCGAUUCAGCGGCGGACGGGUGAGUAAUGCCUAGGAAUCUGCCUAGUAGUGGGGGACAACGUUUCGAAAGGAACGCUAAUACCGCAUACGUCCUACGGGAGAAAGUGGGGGAUCUUCGGACCUCACGCUAUUAGAUGAGCCUAGGUCGGAUUAGCUAGUUGGUAGGGUAAAGGCCUACCAAGGCGACGAUCCGUAACUGGUCUGAGAGGAUGAUCAGUCACACUGGAACUGAGACACGGUCCAGACUCCUACGGGAGGCAGCAGUGGGGAAUAUUGGACAAUGGGCGAAAGCCUGAUCCAGCCAUGCCGCGUGUGUGAAGAAGGCCUUCGGGUCGUAAAGCACUUUAAGUUGGGAGGAAGGGCUCAUAGCGAAUACCUGUGAGUUUUGACGUUACCAACAGAAUAAGCACCGGCUAACUUCGUGCCAGCAGCCGCGGUAAUACGAAGGGUGCAAGCGUUAAUCGGAAUUACUGGGCGUAAAGCGCGCGUAGGUGGCUUGAUAAGCUGGAUGUGAAAUCCCCGGGCUCAACCUGGGAACUGCAUCCAAAACUGUCUGGCUAGAGUGCGGUAGAGGGUAGUGGAAUUUCCAGUGUAGCGGUGAAAUGCGUAGAUAUUGGAAGGAACACCAGUGGCGAAGGCGACUACCUGGACUGACACUGACACUGAGGUGCGAAAGCGUGGGGAGCAAACAGGAUUAGAUACCCUGGUAGUCCACGCCGUAAACGAUGUCAACUAGCCGUUGGGAUCCUUGAGAUCUUAGUGGCGCAGCUAACGCAUUAAGUUGACCGCCUGGGGAGUACGGCCGCAAGGUUAAAACUCAAAUGAAUUGACGGGGGCCCGCACAAGCGGUGGA
This 883-nucleotide ribosomal RNA is filed under the name uncultured Pseudomonas sp. RNAcentral describes it as "bacterial SSU rRNA". It matches the Rfam family "Bacterial small subunit ribosomal RNA", at positions 58 to 936 of the family's 1533-position model. Lineage: Bacteria; Pseudomonadati; Pseudomonadota; Gammaproteobacteria; Pseudomonadales; Pseudomonadaceae. The record is from RNAcentral.